UACGUAGGGUGCGAGCGUUGUCCGGAAUUAUUGGGCGUAAAGGGCUCGUAGGCGGUUUGUCGCGUCGGGAGUGAAAUCCACUGGCUUAACUGGUGGCUUGCUUUCGAUACGGGCAGACUGGAGGUAUGCAGGGGAGAACGGAAUUCCUGGUGUAGCGGUGAAAUGCGUAGAUAUCAGGAGGAACACCGGUGGUGCAGACGGCUCUCUGGACCGUAACUGACGCUGAGACACGAAAGCGUGGGUAGCAAACAGG
RNAcentral lists this ribosomal RNA (253 nucleotides) under uncultured bacterium. RNAcentral's name for it is "partial 16S ribosomal RNA". It matches the Rfam family "Bacterial small subunit ribosomal RNA", at positions 524 to 776 of the family's 1533-position model. The record is from RNAcentral.